GACGAACGCUGGCGGCGUGCUUAACACAUGCAAGUCGAACGGAAAGGCCCUGCUUUUGUGGGGUGCUCGAGUGGCGAACGGGUGAGUAACACGUGAGUAACCUGCCCUUGACUUUGGGAUAACUUCAGGAAACUGGGGCUAAUACCGGAUAGGAGCUCCUGCUGCAUGGUGGGGGUUGGAAAGUUUCGGCGGUUGGGGAUGGACUCGCGGCUUAUCAGCUUGUUGGUGGGGUAGUGGCUUACCAAGGCUUUGACGGGUAGCCGGCCUGAGAGGGUGACCGGCCACAUUGGGACUGAGAUACGGCCCAGGCUCCUACGGGGGGCAGCAGUGGGGAAUAUUGCACAAGGGGCGGAGGCCUGAUGCAGCAACGCCGCGUGCGGGAUGACGGCCUUCGGGUUGAAAACCGCUUUCGCCUGUGACGAAGCGUGAGUGACGGUAAUGGGUAAAGAAGCACCGGCUAACUACG
RNAcentral lists this ribosomal RNA (466 nucleotides) under uncultured bacterium. RNAcentral's name for it is "partial 16S ribosomal RNA". It matches the Rfam family "Bacterial small subunit ribosomal RNA", at positions 28 to 505 of the family's 1533-position model. The record is from RNAcentral.